Non-coding RNA from Caerostris darwini, 112 nucleotides. The record is from the annotation of a GenBank genome assembly. NCBI's taxonomy places the organism in Eukaryota, Metazoa, Arthropoda, Arachnida, Araneae, Araneidae.
AACGGCCGUACCAUGCUGAAUAUACCGGUUCUCGUUAGAUCACCGAAGUCAAGCUUCACUGGGCGCGGUCAGUACUUGGGUGGGUGACCACCUGGGAACACUGCGUGCCGUU